Molecule: ribosomal RNA, 241 nt
Filed under: Candidatus Uhrbacteria bacterium
Lineage: Bacteria; Candidatus Uhriibacteriota
Description: partial 16S ribosomal RNA
Rfam family: Bacterial small subunit ribosomal RNA
Source: RNAcentral
CCUUAGUUCGGAUUGGAGUCUGAAACUCGACUCCAUGAAGCCGGAAUCGCUAGUAAAGGCGGAUCAUAACGCCGCCUUGAAUACGUUCUCGGGUCUUGUACUCACCGCCCGUCACGUCAAGAGAGUUGGUGGUGCCCGAAGGUCGUUGUAGGACGGCCGAAGGCAAAAUCAGCAAUAGGGACGAAGUCGUAACAAGGCAUCCGUAGCGGAAGCUGUGGAUGGAUCACCUCCUUUCUAGGGA